Molecule: ribosomal RNA, 347 nt
Filed under: uncultured bacterium
Lineage: Bacteria
Description: bacterial SSU rRNA
Rfam family: Bacterial small subunit ribosomal RNA
Source: RNAcentral
AUUGAACGCUGGCGGCAUGCCUUACACAUGCAAGUCGAACGGCAGCACGGGGGCAACCCUGGUGGCGAGUGGCGAACGGGUGAGUAAUGCAUCGGAACGUGCCCAGUAGUGGGGGAUAACUAGUCGAAAGAUUAGCUAAUACCGCAUACGACCUAUGGGUGAAAGCGGGGGAUGCAGCACUUAAUGUUUUGGGAUGGCUACUUGUGGCCGCCUCGGGACAGUCCAGGUUGAGAACAUUAAGUGCUGCACCUCGCGCUAUCGGAGCGGCCGAUGUCUGAUUAGCUAGGUUGGACGGGGUAAAAGCCCACCAAGGCUUCGAUCAGUAGCUGGUCUGAGAGGACGACCAG